UAUACCCUACUCUAUUUGCAUCUUGAACAAAUUAUCGAUUCAUAUAGAGAAGAUAGCACUAUACCAGUUGACAAAUUCAGUUCUUUGCGUUUAGAGCCGUUGUUGGCCGAUGCGUUGUGCGCGACUUUGUCAUGCAACCGUUCAUACUCUGGCACGAUACUACCCCGCACGCCCUACACGAAGAUCUUGACGUUCGGUCUUAUACGGUUCAAUCGAUCGACGAGUUCAAGGUGACAAAGCGCGCGAACUCAGGAAGGAGUCCAUACCGGUGUUAUGAUAAUAUUUCCAGUAUCUCAAUCCACCGACGCUAUUGGAGUCGCGGCAUGAAUCAAGAUUACAAAAUGUUGGACAACCGGCGGCAUCACAGCUUGACACAAGCAAACCAGGAGUUUGCAUGACUUAUUUCAGAUUCUUUUUGGAGAACCUGUCUGUAGCAUAGGUUCUCCUCUAUUUUGAAAGUCCGGAGUAGGUUUUUCAGAUAGGUUAGCUUUAAAAAAUUAGUGCAAAUUAAUCGUGUAUUUUCGAUAGGAGAUGUCAGGGCUAAAAUCAGGUUUAAAUUCGUGCCGUACUUUUAGCAAAAUAUGCUAUAGUAUGCACCAAUCAAUUCUGCGUAUUUUAUUCAGGAUUAAGCAAAUUUCGUUGUAAUAAAAUUCCUUUGAGAGGAGGUCGCUUUUUUUGUAGGAAGUGUGUUUAGAAAUACGACAAAAUAUAGCACCGUCACAUGGCAGAUUCCCCAAAUGUGAACCAGUUAAGUCAGAGUGGUCAUCCUUAUCCUAUCGAUGCACAACAAAUUUUGUUACAAGUAAACCAGAUAUGCGAAAGUUACGUAAAUUUUGAAAUAUCCUAGAAAAUACAUUAUUGAUUUGGGUUUAGUUAAUGUCUAGGCAUGUAAUGGGUCUGUCUAACUAUGAUAGCUUCCGACGUGCACGUUAGUGUCUCAAAGAGAGCGCAAGGAACCUGUGUGUCCAAAUGGUUAAAGGAGAAAGCCUGAACUAGGAAGUAUAACUGUAUGUAGGAAGUAUAAGCUGAUCAGUCUGGUUGGUUUAAAACAAGUCAACCUACGAAACCUCUAUAUUUCGAAUUUAUCAUUUUGCCUCUCAUCACCAUCAGAUAGGUAGAUCCCUGCAUGAAACGAAAUCUAGCUAUACCCGGAUUCGCAUCUAGACCACAAUGUGUCGCUAAGAUUAGCAGGCCUACAUAACCUAAGCCGAAGCUAGCCUUUUCAGGAUGAAUCGACUACAGAGAACUCGUCAAAGGCUUGCAGCAGUCACAAAAUUAUGUUGUUAAACAAUGCAUAUUGUUAUUAUGGCUAGGUGCCAGAAGACAAAGUAUGCAAGAAAAAGCGGCGUUUGAUGUUCCUACUGGAAUCUGUUUCGCAGAAGCUAGAAAAAAUGCAUAAAGCUAACAUUUCAAUUUACGCAGCUGCAAAGCUUCAAAUGUAGUGAGGUUUAGGAAACUAGGAGUCAAUGUUCGAAACGCUUGUGCAGGACAUUAAUUUUAUAGUUAGCAUAAAAAAACUAUGAGUGCUUACCUGCAAGUGGCAUGGUGACAUCAUCCUUUGUCAUCCAGUUCUCGGAGCUCGUUUCCACAAAACUAGAUACACACCAAAUGCCGUUUAACGCUGUCCUAUUUCAAUAGGUCUAGACUGAAAAUAGAUUGAAAUCAAUAGGUCGAAUUGAAACCCGCAUAGUUCGAAGCCGAAUUUUGAACCCAAACAUGCUCCAGUUGUUCAAUCACCCCGUCGCCUUGUUUUCCUUAGCCGACUGGUGUUAACUUGUUGUCAUGAUAUAUUUCUCUCGAUAUGGAGUUCUAAUUACCUAUUUAAUACAUCCAGGUCAUUGUGUUCUGUUGCUGUGUUAUCUCGUCAACCUGUCAUAGUCGUUUUUUUUCACGUUGUGUUAGAUAUUCUGUUAGCUCGGUUCGAUUAUUUAUGCUUCACUAACUCAGAUACUCCAAUAUUAUUUUCUAGUUAGGGUGAUGUCUUAUAAUAACAAGAAUUCUAUUCACCUUUGUUAAUGAUCUCGUAGUUUCAACACCAUUGUGAUUUCUUAGGCGCUCGUGAUGAUUCUGCUAUCUCAAAGUUAAAUUUAAUUUGUCCUUUAAAAAUAUUAUGUGAACAUAAGGCCGCUUGAGACACAACUUAAACAAGCAAUAGGAAAAUGCCGAUAUUUCCUCACAAAAUACGCGAUGUUCCACUAUAUGACAGAAGACAAGCAUAAUUAGUUUUUCUACCUACUAUGUAGGGUUCGAAAACCUAAGCCACUAUUAUAUACUUACGUACUUCACAAAUGUCCAACCUCUAAUGAGAGACUUGGUAUACCUCUAAUGAGAAAAGUAUUUUCUCCAGUUUAAAGUACUCUAUGAAAAAGCUUUUCAUCUCUUUUCCAGAUACAUCGCUGUAUUCUGGAGGCUUUUUUUGCCUCAAAAAAUGCAUUUGAGGUUUUGGUUCGGAUGGUCGGCGCGUAGAUGCAAACGAUAACUCAUUAUUGAGUGCAGGAGAAGAUGUUUAAUUCUACACAGCUGUAUCAGGUAGUCAGGUAUUCGGGCAGUUGGACCCGACAUCUAAUACCAGAUGUCAGGAAAUGGAUUCGCGGCAGUCAUGGAGAGCUAACAUAUCAUUCCUGCCAAGUCUUGUCGGGUCAUGGACAGUUCCAGACAUAUAUGACAAAGAUCGGCAAAACGCAAGUGGACAUUUGUGUGCUCUGCGUGUCGGGCAUGAAGGACGGAGUAGAACAUACUCUUCUUCACUGCAAGGCACUUAAAGCGGUCAGAGACAAGCAGGUACACAGAGAAGUAGCAACAAAGGGCAGUACUAGGGAGAUGGUGGAUAUGAUAACAAAAGACAGGACGAACUGGGCCAAAGUUACGGCUUUCUUUGACGAUAUUAUGAAAACAAAAGAACAACUAGAAAGGAUGAGACGUAAGAGAAUAGAGAAGAAAAAAAAAGGUAGUCAGGUAUUAAGGUGCUAGAUUUGUUCCGUAAUUGGUAUUGGUGCCCUUUAUAUACGCGAGAUAUGACGCAUAAAACAUGUGAGUCUUCCUUUUUGCGACCAAUACAAACAUUGGACUUGUGUGUUUAAAUAAAAGUCUAUUGAAGGUUUCUAACUGUUUCCAUCCUUCUUAGCCACCCCCAUGUUGGAAGUUUCUUUAAAUGGUAUGCAACAAUUGCUAAUCAUGAGGCCUAUAAAAGUGUGUGUGUGUGUGAUUAUUGAAGAAUUUAAAUAUGAAAUUUGUUUUCUCUAAUAUUUACUAGAGACUAUACAGCAAGAAUUUCAUUGUAAUAAUCAGCACGGGAAUUAGAGGUAGACGAGAAAGAUGAUUCAAAAUGAAUACUUCUCUCUACUGCACCGACUUCUAUUAUCAGUGUGGU
Long non-coding RNA from Varroa destructor (honeybee mite), 3370 nucleotides. RefSeq lists it as uncharacterized. NCBI's taxonomy places the organism in Eukaryota, Metazoa, Arthropoda, Arachnida, Mesostigmata, Varroidae. The record is from RefSeq and is a predicted model, not a curated record.